This 254-nucleotide ribosomal RNA is filed under the name uncultured bacterium. RNAcentral describes it as "partial 16S ribosomal RNA". It matches the Rfam family "Bacterial small subunit ribosomal RNA", at positions 524 to 776 of the family's 1533-position model. The record is from RNAcentral.
UACGUAGGGGGCAAGCGUUAUCCGGAUUCACUGGGCGUAAAGGGAGCGUAGGUGGCAUGGCAAGCCAGAAGUGAAAACCCGGGGCUUAACCCCGCGGAUUGCUUUUGGAACUGUCAGGCUGGAGUGCAGGAGGGGCAGGCGGAAUUCCUGGUGUAGCGGUGAAAUGCGUAGAUAUCAGGAGGAACACCGGUGGCGAAGGCGGCCUGCUGGACUGUAACUGACACUGAGGCUCGAAAGCGUGGGGAGCAAACAGG